CGAGAGGCACCGUAGUCCUACCACACAAAGAAGUGAACUCUGCCAACAGUGGAAUGGCCUGAGAGGCAGGUUCUUUCCCACAAUCUCCAGGGAAGAGCCAGGCUUGGCCGAUGUCUUGAUUUCAGGCUGUGAUACUGUGGCCUGAGAACCCAGUCAGCUCCACCCAGACUUCUGACCUACAGAGCUGUGAGUUGCUGCGUGAAUUGUGUAGAAAGCAGAGGGUUUCCAAAACUCAUCCCCUUCAUCCUCAGUACUUGGGAACACAGGAAUGUUGGGCAACCACUAAAGAUACAAGAACAAAGCCACAAAUCCAGCAGGACGUGGUGGCGCUGGCUGAGGCAGGAGGCUUGCCAAGCUUGAGCCCCAAGGCAACAAAGAGAGACACUAACUCAGAAUAAAAAUUUUUAAAAGGC
Heterocephalus glaber (naked mole-rat) is the source of this 413-nucleotide long non-coding RNA. NCBI's taxonomy places the organism in Eukaryota, Metazoa, Chordata, Mammalia, Rodentia, Bathyergidae. The record is from Ensembl.